This 908-nucleotide ribosomal RNA is filed under the name Haynesina sp. S16. Its description in RNAcentral is "SSU rRNA". It matches the Rfam family "Eukaryotic small subunit ribosomal RNA", at positions 1198 to 1816 of the family's 1831-position model. Lineage: Eukaryota; Foraminifera; Rotaliida; Nonionidae. The record is from RNAcentral.
ACUCACGCGGGAAUCUUACCGGGUCCGGACACACUGAGGAUUGACAGACAAAUACACACACUUUUACGGUGUGUGCAUGAAAUAUGCUAGUUCUUUCAUGAUUAUGUGAUAGGUGGUGCAUGGCCGUUCUUAGUUCGUGGAGUGAUCUGUCUGCUUAAUUGCGUUUCACUAAAGGCACAUACACAUAAUAUUGAUGUGUUGUGUAUAAUUUAUAAUUGUACGCAUACACACAUAUUAUAUUGUGCUUUGAAAGCAACGAACGUGACCGCAACCUCUUGUUGCCUGUAUAUAUGUGUAUUUUAUACACACCACAGGCUAUUAUAAACUAGAGGGACCGCUGUUACUUUCUUUUAAACCAGAGGAAGGUUGCGGCAAUAACAGGUCUGUGAUGCCCUUAGAUGUUCCGGGCUGCACACGUGCUACAAUGAUCAUUGCAGUGCGCAUCUCAUUUUGUUAUACACUGCUUGUGCGUAUGUGCACCAUAUAUUUAUAUGUGUGUGUAUGUAUUGCACGCAGUAAAGCCUACUUCGAAAGUUGUGGGUAAUCAAUUUGAAGUAAUGAUUUCUCCAAAUAUAUACUGCACACUCAUAUACAGUGUCUUAUGUCCAUGAAAAUUUUAUUAUUUUUGUGUGUGCAUUCGAUGCUCGUAUGUGCAAUUGUCAAUUCAUGGUGGGGACAGACCAUUGUUAAUUGUUGGUCUCGGUCUUAACUAGGAAUGCCUUGUACGGGUCUUUGGUUCAACAAACCACCCGGAAUACGUCCCUGCCCUUUGUACACACCGCCCGUCGCUCUUACCGAUGGACUUCUCUGUGAGUUUGAGGGACUGGAUUUUAUAUCUAUGGAAACUCAAACGAACAGUGUGGUCUAAAGGAAAGAGAAGUCGUAACAAGGCAUCCGUAGGUGAACCU